CAAUAGCGUAUAUUAACGUUGUUGCAGUUAAAAAGCUCGUAGUUGGAUUUCUGGAGGGAGCGUCGGCCCGUAUUUACGAGUGCGUGACGUCUCUGUCCAUCCUUGCGGGAAGGCACGGCAUUGAUUUGUUGUGUCGGAUCGCAUCAUUUACUGUGAAAAAAUUAGAGUGUUCAAAGCAGGCUUUCGCUUGAAUACAUUAGCAUGGAAUAAUAAGAUAGGACUUUGGUGCUAUUUUGUUGGUUGAGCCUAAAGUAAUGAUUAAUAGGGAUAGUUGGGGGCACCUGUAUAGCGUUGUCAGAGGUGAAAUUCUUGGAUUUACGCAAGACAAACAGCUGCGAAAGCGUCUGCCAAGGAUGUUUUCAUUAA
Molecule: ribosomal RNA, 366 nt
Filed under: uncultured eukaryote
Lineage: Eukaryota
Description: partial 18S ribosomal RNA
Rfam family: Eukaryotic small subunit ribosomal RNA
Source: RNAcentral